CCUCCUUAUACGAUUUAGAACUUAUUUGUUCGUAGUGUCCACACAGAUGAUUGUUAGUUAGUUUUACCCUUUGGGUUUAACUGAUUAAUAUGCUCUUUAAAAAUUUGGAAAAGCUGAUAAUAAAAUUCUGAUAAAUAUUCGUAUUUAUCAAGAGUUUUCAAAAGUAAAAAAGAAUGAUAGCAGUAUCAUUCAGUGCCAAUUUAAUCAUUCAUGAUUAAUUGGUAUCUACUUUAGUAUUCAAUAUUAACUUCUGGCGAAGUUAAACUGUCACUAACAAAGACCCGUUUGGGUUGUAUGGUUAAGUGCACUAAGCNGUACACGNGUGGAUGCC
RNAcentral lists this unclassified non-coding RNA (331 nucleotides) under uncultured Pseudoalteromonas sp. RNAcentral's name for it is "partial 16S-23S ribosomal RNA intergenic spacer". Lineage: Bacteria; Pseudomonadati; Pseudomonadota; Gammaproteobacteria; Alteromonadales; Pseudoalteromonadaceae. The record is from RNAcentral.